Small nucleolar RNA from Gossypium raimondii (Peruvian cotton), 107 nucleotides. It matches the Rfam family "Plant small nucleolar RNA R71". From Rfam's summary of the family: R71 is a member of the C/D box family of snoRNAs containing the C (UGAUGA) and D (CUGA) box motifs. The record is from Rfam. NCBI's taxonomy places the organism in Eukaryota, Viridiplantae, Streptophyta, Magnoliopsida, Malvales, Malvaceae.
AAUCUAUGAUGUAGGCAAUUUCUUGACAUCGUCUUGAAGUGCUCCCAUGCCUCGUAUAGGGAUUCACCUUCAUAUUUUGUAAAAUUGGCAAUUUCUUGCCUAAGUUG